CUGAUCAGUCCCCUUUGCCAUUGCCAUUGCCCCUUCAGUGCCCUCAGGACUCCCUUGGACGGACUUCUCUUUGUUUCUGCGUCUUUCCCCUGGAAACUUUUUCACCCCUUCUAGCGCCACGCCUUUGCAGCUGGGGGUCUCCACCUACGUCAGCUUUCUUCCGCAGAGAAACUUUAGGAAUGACUCAAGCCUUUGGUUCCAGCCUUCGACCGGACAGAGUUGCCCCGACUCCGAUGCCGUUCAGACACGAGCCCCCAAUGAGAAAGCAGCCCCUUGUCCGGCAAAUUCUCAGCCCGUGAUCUGACGGCGCGGGAAAGCCUCUGUUCGGGGUGUGAAUGUGGCCGGUAAGAGCGCCUCGUUUUCGAAUGCUACGAUCAGGCAUUUCUCUUCUCUGAAUGUCACAUUUCCCAAAUGGCACUUGUCUCUACUUUUCUGCAUGUUGUCUUAACGCGGCUAGAAAAAAAAUUGUAUGUGGAUAAGGGAAUGGAAACUCAAAAUUUGCAACCAUGGCAAAUGCCGAGCCAUCAACGAGCUUAAACUUUUUUGAUAAGAUACUAGCGUAGUUAAUCCACCACUUGGCGCCUGC
Molecule: small RNA, 586 nt
Filed under: Histoplasma capsulatum
Lineage: Eukaryota; Fungi; Ascomycota; Eurotiomycetes; Onygenales; Ajellomycetaceae
Also listed under: 1 other name
Description: hypothetical RNA
Source: RNAcentral